UGGGGGAAUCUUGCGCAAUGGGCGAAAGCCUGACGCAGCCAUGCCGCGUGAGUGAUGAAGGCCUUAGGGUUGUAAAACUCUUUCACCGGGGACGAUAAUGACGGUACCCGGAGAAGAAGCCCCGGCUAACUUCGUGCCAGCAGCCGCGGUAAUACGAAGGGGGCUAGCGUUGCUCGGAAUUACUGGGCGUAAAGGGCGCGUAGGCGGAUCAGCAAGUUGGGGGUGAAAGCCCGGGGCUCACCUCGGAAUUGCCUUCAAACUGCUGAUCUAGAGUACGGGAGAGGUGUGUGGAACUCCGAGUGUAGAGGUGAAAUUCGUAGAUAUUCGGAAGAGCACCAGUGGCGAAGGCGACACACUGGCCCGUUACUGACGCUGAGGCGCGAAAGCGUGGGGAGCAAACAGGAUUAGAUACCCUGGUAGUCCACGCUGUAAACGAUGAUUGCUAGUUGUCGGCAGGCAUGCCUGUCGGUGACGCAGCUAACGCAUUAAGCAAUCCGCCUGGGGAGUACGGUCGCAAGAUUAAAACUCAAAGGAAUUGACGGGGGUCAUAGCUGUUUCCUG
This 561-nucleotide ribosomal RNA is filed under the name uncultured bacterium. RNAcentral's name for it is "partial 16S ribosomal RNA". It matches the Rfam family "Bacterial small subunit ribosomal RNA", at positions 354 to 941 of the family's 1533-position model. The record is from RNAcentral.